CCCUUAGAUGUCCUGGGCUGCACGCGCGCUACACUGGAAGUUACGGAUUGAGAUACUACCUUGUCCGAAAUGGUCCGGGUAAUCACCUAAAAGCUUGUCAUAAUUGGAAUGGAUUAUUGUAACUAGUAAUCCUGAACGAGGAAUUCCUAGUAAGUCCCAGUCAACAGCUGGUACUGAUUACGUCCCUGCCCUUUGUACACACCGCCCGUCGCUACUACUGAUUGGACGUUUAAGCAAGAUUUUUAAACACCGACAGUGUGUAGUUCACGCUAUACUACAGUGAGAAGAAGAAGAUCGAGCUUACUUGUCUAGAGGAAGUAAAAGUCGUAACA
RNAcentral lists this ribosomal RNA (332 nucleotides) under uncultured eukaryote. RNAcentral's name for it is "partial 18S ribosomal RNA". It matches the Rfam family "Eukaryotic small subunit ribosomal RNA", at positions 1470 to 1796 of the family's 1831-position model. The record is from RNAcentral.